UACAAGCAGCAAGAAUCAAUCCGGACCACACUGAGGUCAGAGGUGCAGGGCACACGUAUAAAACAAUAGCAGUGUGAGACGGUGCUCAGAGCUCUGAAAACGAGGCUAAAUGAUGAGCAUGUUUAUUACAGACCGUGUGAUCACAUUAGGGUUAUACUCAGAGACAAAAAAAUACCGUAUAGGUUUAAAGUGACUCUCUUUUUUCCAGGGGGGGGGGGCUCUGCCACUUUAACCUCUAUCAGUCUGCACAAUCUCAGUUAAGAUGACAAUAAUAAGUGGAACAAAACAAUGCAGAUUCAUGCACAUCUUCUUAUUGGGACCUGCUAGUUUGAAUAACACACACUGUGACUGUGGAGUGUGUGUUUCAACGAGAUGCAGCUGCAAACCUUCAAACUAUUUUCACACUUGUUGGACUGUGACUCUGCGCUGCCUGCAGCAGCCUGACACCAACGUCAUUUCUUAUUAAUAAUAAAUUAAUUCGAGAUUAAGCCAUGCUCUGCAAUCACCGAGAUUACACCGUUUAAUUUGUUUAAAGAUGUCAGUUUGAAGCUUAUUUUAAAUAAUUUCACAGCCUAUAGCAGAAAAUCUUGCAAACAUGAGGGCAGAGUGCAUCUUUGAGGAUAGAUGGCACAUGAAGACAAUGUUAGACACUGAACAUCUUAUAAGGAUUUGUUUCAGUCAGAUUUUUAAAUUGUUUGCAAGAUAAUUCUCAACAUAAAAGCAAUCAAUAAUCAUAAAUAUGGGAACUUUUUUUCCCUAAAUAAAGCUCAACUCUUAGAAUUAAAAUAAUGACAUUAAGGCCCACUUCCUUUUGUGACUUUGACACAGAUUAGAAACUGUAAAUUUCACUGACUAUCGUGUAGAGAUGCAACUUUUUCUGCACCACCACUAUAAAAAAUUGCACGUGGAAAAAAGCAGGCAAUCGUCGUGCGCAUGAGUGAGCUUCUAACAAACACAAACACUGUCAUAUAUUUAUGAGUACUAAUUGAAAAAAAAUCCAAGUCUAAUGUUUGAACUGCUUUGAGAGGUUGUGUGUUGAAAGAGAGGAGGGGUGAGAGCUCUGUGUGUGUGUGUGUGUGUGUGUGUGUGUGUGUGUGUGUUGGGGUGGGGGGUUAGUAAAGGGUGCUCUUUUUUUUUUGUCCAAAUCUGAUCCCCAAAUUAUUCUGGGGGGCUCAGAUUGGUGUGAAAGGGACGAGAAGGUCACUUGAAAUCGCCUUUUAUCCGCUGGCUUUUUUUCUAUGGAUCAGCAACUUUCAAUAGACAUAAUCUAAUCGCUCUUAAUGGAAAGGCCAUUCGUGAGAAAUAGUGGAAAUAUCGUUGAGCCUAUGGGCUACAAGGCAUUUAAGACCGAGGCAUUUAACAGGCAACAAGAGAGAGAGCUGCACUAAAUAACAUGGCUCUUAAUUAGACGUGGAAAAGUGAAAAGUUUGUAUUUAGAGCAAAGGAGUCAACAUCAGUACUCACACAUUAGCCAAGUGCAUUUAUAACUUUCUAAUUAGCAUGAAAUUAUGAUUAUGAAAACAUGUAUAUGUGAAUAAAUAGAAGUUGAUUGAUUUAUUGUAAAAUAACACCACCCUGCAGUGUGAGUCCUCCUUGUUUGUGUGCAGAUUUGCUCUCUAUUUCCAGUUUGGCCUCUCGUCUCUAGAGAUUCCAGAUCCUUAAAUGUCUUUCCAGGUUUUUUUCUUCUUUUUUUACCCGGAAUCUCAGACUAUAAUUGACGACAAUAUCUGCAGUGACUUUCCCAAUUAGUCUUGAGGUCGGAGUUAAGUUGGAGGGACUGUCACUUUAAGCUAUGGGCAAUGGCUUUAUUGCUCACUAACCAUCAUUUCUUCAGAGCCUAUGUGCUAAUUACUUUAGAUGGUCCCAGAGACGGAGAUUAUAAAUCCAUUAGCACCCAAACCCUCGUGGUUGCACAGUGCAAACACUGUAAUUUUGUACUACACCGAAAAAAAAAACCAAAGUUAAAGGAGCAGAAGCUACAUGAAGGGAGACAGACUUCAGAGAGAGGAAACCCGGAGUUUAUCAAUCAGCAGCUGAGCCCAAACACACACACACACACAUACACAGAGCAUCACACAGAAAUAACUGACAGCAAAAAUAUCUGAUAAAUAGCCCGUGUUUGGGUUUAUAAUCGACUUGUUUAUAUUACUUUGUGCGCAUAAUGCAGCAUUGUGAGGAUCAGCUCUACACUUUUAAUGUUUUGGCUUCUAUUUCCACGCAAGUUUGGAAAAUCGUUUAUUCCCAAAGUGCCCGUGAAGUAUCCAGGGAGAGACGCAGCCCAGAGGAAAAGGGUGGAUUGGAAUAAGACUUAAUACCUGUUUGACUGCGUUUAAAGAGGGGGGAAAAACGAGGGGGUACACGAAGGCAUCCCACCCUUUAAGUAAUUUAUUUCAGGAAAACCGGAGGGCAAAGGUGGAAUUCUUGAGAAAUUCAACAAGGAUAAGGGAGCUUUAGGAAUUCUGCACGCAGAUUACCUUUCAUCCCAUCCUCACAUUAUCCGACAACACACAGUAGAAAUAUAACCGAGCGACAAAAGAGGCAGAUUACCCUCCGACACAGAGGAGAGCUAAACAAUUUUUAAGAAGUGUUGCGAUUAUUACAGAAGAGAGAGAGAUGGGGGAGGAGGAGGGAGGAGAGAGGAAGGGAGGGAUGAGGGGUCAAACAGCAAAGGUUGAUUCCCUGAAUGUGUUCAAAAAAACGACCUAAAUGAGCGUUCAUCCUGUCACUGUCACACUGAGGAGUGUGUGGUCGAUUUUACCCUCCGUUUUCCACACACAUGAAUAUUUAUAGUGUGUAAAUACACAUCAAAUACAUCAUGAAAGUGAGCUGAGCUGAGUGAGGAAAGGAUCAUCUACAGAGAUCUUUACAUCAACAUUUCUCUUCUGCUAACUUACAGUGAGUGUUGUCUCUGCUGUCACUGUCAGUCAUGAUGCGUCCCACACUUCCUGCUGACUCUGGGUUUGACUCUCUCGUCUCGCUCAGGUUGAACUCUUUUGGUUGUCCAUCUUUCUCUUUCUAACUACAUGAGUGGCAUCAUGUCAGGAAAUGCAUUAUUUCCCCUCCUUCAACCCCCCAAAACUAACAAACAGCAGGAGCUUAAUUGGAAAUGUAGAGUAGCUGAACCAUCAGCAAGCUGGAGCAGAAACACAGAGGAGGAAAGAGUUGAUAUGAUAAUUUUAUGUAUGUUAAAAAAUUCCAGAGAUUUUUUUGGAUGUAAAAAAAGUUCAACCUUUGACAUGUUAGUGCCACAUUUUAUCCUAUAAAUCUAUAUUUGUAUAUCCUAAAUGUAGCUUUAAAGUCAUGAUAAAGUAAAAAUACGUCAGAGAUUGGUCAGCCUAUCUCACUGUAAAUUAUAUAAUUGAACUUAAAAACAACAAAUAAUAAUCAAUAGAAAAAAAAUACCAAUAUCUCUCUCACACACCCACACGGACACGGACAAAACCCUCCUGUGCUUAAGUGUAGUUUUGUCUAAAAGGUGUGUGUCUGGUGUUUGCAUGUGUGGGCACAUGUGUGUGAGAAGACAGUGACGUGAAGGUGGCCUGUGUUUAGAGUCCAGACCUGGCAGAUUGUGACCUUAUCAAUGUGAAACUCUUAAGAUAAAUUAUUCAUAGCACCUGUUUGAUGUCUCCGGCCAAAGAAUGACAAAGGUGUAAGAUUUGAGAUGCAUCUCAAAAAGGCAUGAAUACCAGCCCCGGUGCCUGCUGUUGGUUUUUUAGGAGCGGGGAGAAAGAAUGAUAAGGGUUCUUUUUAAAUAAGAAAAAAGAGCGAUUUUGUGCAUAAGACAGCGAGCGUGUGCGUAGGUGCAUCAUCGAGACUUAGCAGUAACUCAGUCUACAAAUUUCAGUGUACAAGGUGUGACCCCAUGUGACUCACAGGUAUCUAGUGAUUAAGCGGGCCACCUGCAUCGCCACCGCCUGCUUUAAUUUGAAAUUUGAAGCUCGGAGAGAGUUGAUGUGGUUGAUUCGGCGGAGCUAAUCGUGACUGAGUUUGUGUUGUGUGUCUCUCCUCGCAGGAAAAGGAAUGACAUGGCCGUGAAGCAUUCGGGACGCACAGCAGGACGUGUCGGUGUGAUGCAAGGACUGACACCGGAAUGAGAUGUAAUUUAUGGCGAGGGUGUUUGAUUAAAGGACAGUGAUGGGGGAAAGAAAUGCUGAGUACACAGUUGAAUGUGUGUUAAAUCAAAUACCAUUUGUACAUUAAUAGCCAGGCUAAGAAUAGAUUUUAAAAGUCUCUCCCCUCUGAUUUUUAUUGGUUAGUUCAGAUUUUGUUUUUUCAAAGAGUGAAUAAUACUGCAGUGUGUAUUUAUGGAGUACUAUUCUGAGCUUUUCCUCUCAGAGAGGAAUCUAAGCAUCCAAAUUCCUCCUCAAUUAUUUGUUUUGGAAACGAACCAUCGGUCUGCUUUUUGGGAAACUAGCAGCUCAUCUCUUCAUAGCUAGAGGUCAACAUAACACUCAGUAUUAAUAAAACAAAUAAGAGCAGGAUGGAUAUUAAUGAUGGUAUAAACACACGUAGUGCAGAUGAGAGAGAGAGAGAGAGAGCUGAUAGGCAGCAAAGAAGAGACCCACUCAGGCCCUCUCACACAUAUUUGUGUGUUUACUUGUCGGUGUAUGUGUGUAUGAGAGAUAGCCGAGUCCGUAUCCUUCAGAUGUUCCCUCUGACCUUUGACCCUGCAACCGGGGUCAAGGCCUGACAAAUGAGAUGGUUGAGUUUUGGCCAGAACUGCAAACAUUCCACAACAAUCUUCUGUCCUCCUCCUCUUCCUCCCCUCAUAUCCGUCAUUCCUCACCCCUUCACUCCUCUCUGUUUGUCUCUUCCUGCACUUAGAGAGAGAGAGAGUCAGAGAAAGUUCUCAUUACAAACAAGCAUGUUUUAUUGGAUUCGCUGUGGGAAUCUUUUUUGGAGCACACACCCUUCAAAUUAUGAAUUACAGCACUGCUUAAAUUUAAGAUCCUGGACAUCGGCCUGGUUCGCAGAAGAAAAGAAAACAAAACAUUUAUGAUCUUAAGGAAAAAGCUGCGCUAAAAGAUUUGGAUAUUACAAGCGUGCACUUUGAAAGAACAUAGCGUGUGCUUGGAAAGCUUGUCAGUGAUGUCAAGGAUGAGAAAUGUUGCAGUGUGGUUUUUUACACACGCUGCUGGCUCUAGCAUUUCCGGCAACAUUUCUCACUCUGCCUCCCUCACACCAUCCGCUGUGCUGCAAUAUCCCCACAUUUUUCCAUCCUUUCACUUCAUCCCCUCCCCUCCCUUCCCUCUGUUCUCUGACCACUCUUUGCUCCCAUUACCCUUCCUCUCUGCUGCCCAAUCUCAGCCUCUCCCUCCCUUCUCACAUCCACUCACCCCCCCUUUCCUUUCCCUUCUCUCUCUCUCUCUCUCUCUUUUUUUUCUCCACCCACUAUUUUCUCAGAUUUUCUAACAUGCCGCUCCACAGAAUGCUACCACCUGUGUCUUUAGGGAGGAAAGCGGAGCUGUUGGUAUUCCUCCUCAGGAAGCUGGUUAAGGUAAGUGGCACCCUCUAUUACAAUGACAAGGCAAAUAACAGUUUCAGCUCGUUGUGUUUCUGCAUUACGGGGUGUUUUUUUUUUUUAAUGUUCACUGAAUGACCCCGGCUUCCUAAGCAUUACCGCCCUCCAUCAGAGCUCUGGCUACAAGUCACUGCUGUAAAAACACACGCAGUCGCCAUCGAUGAGCAUCAUCAGAGCCACAAAAGGAGCCUGGAGACCAACAAAGCCGUAACACUGAGUGGCUCUUGCUCUUGAACUGGCUCUCAUAAUGAUGUAAUAUUACUAAAAGGCAAUGCAACACAGCUAAGAUCUUAAUAAAAACACAUCAAUCCCGA
Molecule: long non-coding RNA, 5835 nt
Filed under: Xyrichtys novacula (pearly razorfish)
Lineage: Eukaryota; Metazoa; Chordata; Actinopteri; Labriformes; Labridae
Source: RNAcentral